Molecule: long non-coding RNA, 523 nt
Filed under: Junco hyemalis (dark-eyed junco)
Lineage: Eukaryota; Metazoa; Chordata; Aves; Passeriformes; Passerellidae
Description: lncRNA (ENSJHYG00000001442.1)
Source: RNAcentral
GUAGCCGCUCCAAGGCAUCAGUCCCACUGCUCUCAUCUGUAUCUUCAUCAGAGGCGUUGUUGGGGUUUUCUCCCCAAAGCCUCACGACCCAUCCCGAAAUCUCCUCCUCUCUCCCUCCCCAGCGCCCUGUUGAGGUUGCACACACAGAUACAGAAUAACCCCUGUCCUUUCCUGCAGUACCACGAGGAGAUCCGCGUGCUCGCCAGGGCCCGCGCUGCGCGCUCGGUGCGCAGCCAGCGCCGCGCCGACCUGCCGCUCACAGCUGGGGAACAGCUGGAUGUUAUCGACACCCACGGCACGGCCCACGGCGCCCAGGGCCACGCCGUCAUCUGCCGCAACGCCCAGGGCAGAUACGGGUAUGUUCUGGUGGAACACUUGAACUUCAGACAGUACUAACUGCCCUGAGAGCUGCUCUUCCCUGGAGCAUCCCUGAAGGUCUCCUGUGUUCCUGCAUCCCUGACAGCCCAUGUUGGUCAGCUGUGGGGUGGUGAUGGGAAUGUAAAUAAAGCUGGAGUUUUGUACA